Molecule: ribosomal RNA, 157 nt
Filed under: Discula quercina
Lineage: Eukaryota; Fungi; Ascomycota; Sordariomycetes; Diaporthales; Gnomoniaceae
Also listed under: 2 other names
Description: 5.8S ribosomal RNA
Rfam family: 5.8S ribosomal RNA
About the family: 5.8S ribosomal RNA (5.8S rRNA) is a component of the large subunit of the eukaryotic ribosome.
Source: RNAcentral
AACUUUUAACAACGGAUCUCUUGGUUCUGGCAUCGAUGAAGAACGCAGCGAAAUGCGAUAAGUAAUGUGAAUUGCAGAAUUCAGUGAAUCAUCGAAUCUUUGAACGCACAUUGCGCCCGCUGGUAUUCCAGCGGGCAUGCCUGUUCGAGCGUCAUUU